This 67-nucleotide transfer RNA is filed under the name Emiliania huxleyi. Lineage: Eukaryota; Haptophyta; Isochrysidales; Noelaerhabdaceae. The record is from RNAcentral.
AGAAUUAAUUAUCCGUAAUGAAAAACGAAUGCUUCAAGAAGCUGUUGAUGCUUUAAUAGAUAAUGGU